This 425-nucleotide ribosomal RNA is filed under the name uncultured bacterium. RNAcentral's name for it is "partial 16S ribosomal RNA". It matches the Rfam family "Bacterial small subunit ribosomal RNA", at positions 354 to 796 of the family's 1533-position model. The record is from RNAcentral.
GUGGGGAAUCUUGCGCAAUGGGCGAAAGCCUGACGCAGCCAUGCCGCGUGGAUGAUGAAGGUCUUAGGAUUGUAAAAUCCUUUCACCGGUGAAGAUAAUGACUGUAGCCGGAGAAGAAGCCCCGGCUAACUUCGUGCCAGCAGCCGCGGUAAUACGAAGGGGGCUAGCGUUGCUCGGAUUUACUGGGCGUAAAGGGCGCGUAGGCGGACAUUUAAGUCAGGGGUGAAAUCCCGGGGCUCAACCUCGGAACUGCCUUUGAUACUGGGUGUCUUGAGUAUGAGAGAGGUGUGUGGAACUGCGAGUGUAGAGGUGAAAUUCGUAGAUAUUCGGAAGAACACCAGUGGCGAAGGCGACACACUUGCUCAUUACUGACGCUGAGGCGCGAAAGCGUGGGGAGCAAACAGGAUUAGAUACCCUUGUAGUCC